This 840-nucleotide ribosomal RNA is filed under the name Xanthoparmelia mexicana. RNAcentral's name for it is "eukaryotic LSU rRNA". It matches the Rfam family "Eukaryotic large subunit ribosomal RNA", at positions 81 to 936 of the family's 3401-position model. The record is from RNAcentral. Lineage: Eukaryota; Fungi; Ascomycota; Lecanoromycetes; Lecanorales; Parmeliaceae.
CAGUAACGGCGAGUGAAGCGGCAACAGCUCAAAUUUGAAAUCUGGCUCCUUCGGAGUCCGAAUUGUAAUUUGUAGAGAGUGCUUCGGGCGAGACCUCGGUUUAAGUCCAUUGGAACAUGGUGUCAUAGAGGGUGAGAAUCCCGUAUGCGACCGUGGCUCGAGCCCAUGUGAAGCCUCUUCGACGAGUCGAGUUGUUUGGGAAUGCAGCUCAAAAUGGGUGGUAAAUUUCAUCUAAAGCUAAAUACUGGCUGGAGACCGAUAGCGCACAAGUAGAGUGAUCGAAAGAUGAAAAGCACUUUGGAAAGAGAGUCAAACAGUACGUGAAAUUGUUGAAAGGGAAGCGCUUGCAACCAGACCUGCCCGUAGGCGAUCAGCCGCUGUUCUCAGCGGUGUACUCGCUCUGCGAUCAGGCCAGCAUCGGUUUCGGCGGGCGGAUAAAGACCUUGGGAAUGUAGCUUCCCUUCGGGGAAGUCUUAUAGCCCUCGGUGUAAUGCGGCCAGCCGGGACCGAGGACCGCGCUUCGGCUAGGAUGCUGGCGUAAUGGUUGUAAGCGACCCGUCUUGAAACACGGACCAAGGAGUCUAACAUCUAUGCGAGUGUUUGGGUGUCAAACCCAUACGCGGAAUGAAAGUGAACGGAGGUGAGAACCCUUAAGGGCGCAUCAUCGACCGAUCCAGAUGUCUUCGGAUGGAUUUGAGUAUGAGCAUAGCUGUUGGGACCCGAAAGAUGGUGAACUAUGCCUGAAUAGGGUGAAGCCAGAGGAAACUCUGGUGGAGGCUCGCAGCGGUUCUGACGUGCAAAUCGAUCGUCAAAUUUGGGUAUAGGGGCGAAAGACUAAUC